This is a long non-coding RNA of Rhagoletis zephyria (snowberry fruit fly), 373 nucleotides long. RefSeq lists it as uncharacterized. The record is from RefSeq and is a predicted model, not a curated record. NCBI's taxonomy places the organism in Eukaryota, Metazoa, Arthropoda, Insecta, Diptera, Tephritidae.
CUGGGCUGCCAUACCCUUUGUUUGCUUUUAAAAAUAAUUUCAAUUUCCUGUUACGAGACCAUAAUCGUUUCAGCGAACUAAUUUAUUACCACAAAACUUAGGAUUAGCUCAAAAUCAACGCUGUAUAUGCACCAAGCAUUCCUUGUAAUCUGGCUACACCUUUGUUAGCGAAUGAUGCCAACAAGCGCGGUGAUUUUUCUUCUUUGUGGACAGCAACUUUAAGUAAUUUUGGUACAUUUGCAAUUAAAAAACAUCUAGGAGUAUUAAAGAACAGAAAAUUGCUUAAAACUUUUGGAAAAUUGAACUGCGGUGGUUGCAUUUUCAGUGGAGGGAGCAGGCAGAUGAGAAACUUUUCAUUCUGUAAAACAAAUUU